AUGUCCGCCGCCGAGGCGCUCCUUGCUAAUGGCGCCUCCGGCAGCAGCGGCGGCGAUCGCCUGAGCAUCGACGAUGCCCUCGCGCAGCACGCGGGGGAGUUCGGGCGGUGGCAGCUGCGGCAGUUCGUAAUGGUGACGGCGGCGUGGGCGCUGGAGGCCAUGCACACCAUGGUCAUGAUCUUCGCGGACCGCGAGCCGGCCAUGUCGUGCCCCGCGGGGGACGGGCGGUGCGGCGACCGUUGCGCCGGCGCUGCGGCCGGGUGGGAGUGGGAGCAGGGGAGCGGCUCGUCGACGGUGGCCGAGUGGGGCCUCGUCUGCGGCGAGCGCUACAAGGUCGGCCUCGUCCAGGCCGUCUUCUUCGUCGGGUGCAUGAUCGGCGCGGGCGUGUUCGGGCACCUCUCCGACUCGUUUCUCGGCCGGAAGGGCUGCCUGCUGGUGCUCUGCUUCCUCAACGCCGUCUUUGGUCUCCUCACCGCGCUCUCCCCGAACUACUGGGUCUACGCCGCGCUGCGCCUCCUCACGGGCUUCAGCACCGGCAGCGUCGGCCUCUGCUCCUUCGUCCUCGCCACGGAGCCCAUCGGGCCCUCCCGCCGUGGCGCCGCCGGCAUGUCCACCAUGUACUUCUUCUCCGUGGGCAUCGCAGCCCUCGCCGGCGUCGCUGUGAUGUUCCAGUCCUCAUGGCGCCUCCUCUAUGCCGUCACCUCCCUGCCCUCCCUUGCGUACGUCUUCACUGUCAUGCCGUUCGUCUCCGAGUCUCCGCGGUGGUACCUUGUGCGCGGGCGCGCCAACGACGCCAUGCGCGUCUUGGGCGACAUCGCGUCCGCCAACGGCAGAUGCAUCCCGGACAACGUCGUGCUCAAGCUUGACGACGAGGGGGACGACGUCAACGGCGCUCAGGUUGGCACCGGAGAAAAGGCUGAGGAGCUGUCGUCGUCGGGCACAAUCAUAGACGCGUUCCGGUCACCGACGACGCGGAUCAGGCUCGUGCUCUCGGUGAUCAUCCACUUCCUUUCCGCAGUGGUGUACUUCGGGCUGAGCCUCAACGUGGUCAACCUAAAGACAAACCUUUACGUCAGCGUCGUCCUGAACUCGCUGGCCGAGAUGCCCUCUUACCUGCUCACCGCGAUGCUUCUUCAGCACUUCGGCCGCAAACCAGUCGCCAUCGGCAUGACGCUUCUCAGCGGCGUCUUCUGCACGGCGGGCAGUCUCAUCGCCGGCGCCGGCGCCGCGAGGGUGGUGAGGACGGUGUGCGGGGUGGUGGGGAUCUUCGGGAUAUCGGCGACAUACAACCUGUUGGCCGUGUACACGGCGGAGCUGUUCCCGACAGUGGUGCGGACGGCGGUGCUCGGAUGCGCGAUGCAAGCGUCGCAGAUGGGUGCCAUACUUGCACCCCUGGUGGUGGUGCUCGGGGAGCGGCUGCCGUUCGCGGUGUUCGGCAUGUCGGGGAUCAUCGGCGGGCUGUUGUUCUUAUGCCAGCCCGAGACGAUGAACAAGCCCUUGUAUGACACCAUGGCUGGACUCGAGAAAGGAGAGAGGGUGUCUAAAAGUGAAGACGAAGGUGCAGCAGAGAACUCCGAAAUUUAG
RNAcentral lists this ribosomal RNA (1584 nucleotides) under Triticum aestivum (bread wheat). Its description in RNAcentral is "partial small subunit ribosomal RNA". Lineage: Eukaryota; Viridiplantae; Streptophyta; Magnoliopsida; Poales; Poaceae. The record is from RNAcentral.